UCCAGCAAACAAGACGCACCAUUCACAACUCCGCGGCCCACGCCGCGCAUGCGCCGCCAGCCAGCCUGCGGGGUGGAUGGGCUGCGGCUAGCCCAGGUCCCUCCCGCAGCGCCGCGCUGUUCCACCUGGGUGUCCGCUGGCCGCUCAGUGUGAACUGCCCUGUGGGGGUCUGCCUGGCCCUCCCGGGUGCGGCCUUAGCCGGCCUUUUUGUCCGCCCUCUCCUCAGCCAUCUGGAACUUCUGGGCUCACCCGCCGCGGAGAGUAACCCUAGGCUGUCUACUGAAUCCGAAGAAACCCAAGUCCUUGGGGACUUUGUGUCCCCGGAUCGAUGGCGAGGGGUUUAGGUUGUGUACCUUGAAGGCCAAAGGGGAAAACAAACCAAAGAAACCAACUGAAUCAUUGUGGGAAGGUCGUGGCGGUUGGACUUGACAAGAACACAGUUCACGGAUGACAAAAACGUACUGUGAGGAUCCACCUGAACCCAGCGAUGAGUGCCAAGAUCAGCUGGCACUCCUCCCCCCUCGAAGCUUCCCUGCCACCCGCUGCUCUCAGCACCUCAGCCGGGCUGUGGGGAAAAGAAAGCAGAGAGGAGCGAGUUUCCUCAGAAUAGCAUUUCUUCAAUGUUGGGAUCAAUAAACC
Non-coding RNA from Oryctolagus cuniculus (rabbit), 639 nucleotides. NCBI's taxonomy places the organism in Eukaryota, Metazoa, Chordata, Mammalia, Lagomorpha, Leporidae. The record is from RefSeq and is a predicted model, not a curated record.